This is a long non-coding RNA of Sciurus carolinensis (gray squirrel), 1850 nucleotides long. RefSeq lists it as uncharacterized. NCBI's taxonomy places the organism in Eukaryota, Metazoa, Chordata, Mammalia, Rodentia, Sciuridae. The record is from RefSeq and is a predicted model, not a curated record. The transcript is spliced from 6 exons.
GAGCCGCAGCUCACGCUGCGGGCUAGGAGGCGGCCACCCAAGAAACGCGACUUCAGGUCUGCAGGAGCCUCAGAGGGUGCCGUGGCAGCGUUAACAGUAGUGGUGGUCCCAGUUGGGACCAGGGCGUGGGGCGCGUGCGCUGUACGGACACAAACUGACCCGGCGACUUCGCAGAGCCACCAGGGACCAGUGGAGGCCAGGAGGUAGGACGGCUGCUGGAUGGUGGUGACCAGUAUCUUCUAUGGCCACGUUGCCAUAGUGACCACCAUGCUUUGGCAUGUGUGACAGCUAUAGGAGGAGAUCGGCAUGGCUGGACCUGCUGACUACACUCCCCACUUAAGUGGCCUGUGCCCUCCGUCCCAACAGAAGAUUCUAAAUGCUCUGAUUGUAAAAGGCCCUGAGCAGGAGCUCUAGUGGACCAAGGACUUGGUAUGGAGGCCUCUCCUCAAAUAUAAAAGAACAGAGACCAUGGAAGAACCAAACCCUGAUAGCGGAGUGGAGAGGCAGUCACUGAGUUGCUUUCAGCUUUGCUUAGUUGAUGAGGCUGGCCUUGAACUUGCAGUCCUCCUACCCUAGCCUCCUGAGUCAUUGACAUUACAGGAGCAGAAAAGCAUCAACUCCUUUCUGUAGCUUCUGUGAAGUAGAGCACUCAGCUAGGCACAUACUAGGUGCUCAGUAUGCAUUGGACUUGGUGAAAAGGGGCAUUUAAAUACUUUUGCACUCUUCCCGUCAGUCUUCGCCUCUUCCUACAAUGCUGCCCACUCCAGUCCUCCCUGAGGAGGUUCAGGGGAUUCCAAUUUCCAAAUCAGACAUGUUCUCCCAAUUAGAACCAACAGAAGAACCAUGGGUACUGGAAAGAGGAGGGUUGCAAGGCUCCUGUACAGGCAUUUCUAUUUGAUCAAUUCAUACAAAGCCUGGAAAGUAACCAUUUGGAGGACCUGGAUUGAAUAGGGUUUGCAAUUUCCAGUUCUGAAGAGAAAAAAAGGAUCAUUUUAAAAGACAUUCACAUUCCAGUUCAAAAUAUAGCAUAUUUAAUGACGGCACCUGAACUCCAAAGAAGGGACUGGAAGGAGAGUGACAAAGGAAACAAGUUGUUUUUUGUUUUUCAAGACAUUCACUCAUUCAUUUAACAAACAGAUAUUUUACCCAAUUGAAUUUGUCUCAUUACCAAGAUAAUAUGAGCCUAUUCUAGAAAUAAAAAAAAUAGAGACAUGAAGAAAAUGCAAAAAUCUUGAGAUUCUACCACACAGUCCCAUUCACUAUCAACUUUUGCAUGAGCAUUCUUUCAAGCAGGCCUCUGCAGUUAUGUGCAGGAACAUGAAUAUUUUGGUGCAUGUGCUGUGAUUCUCUACCUGUCAUUUUACCCUUAGUCAUGUGUUGUGGACAGCUUUCCAUGUCAGUGAAUAUGUAUGCAUACCUAGAUAUUCAUUCUCUGGAAUGGCUACAUAGUAUUCUGCUGUACCCCUAUAUCAUAAUCUAUAACCAGCCCACUAUUAAUAACUAUUUAGGUUGUUUCCAGGUUUUCAUUGUUCUGUGCAACACACAAAUGAACAAACUUACAUUACAUCUUUACAAACUUGUCAGGAUAUAUAUUGUGACUCAUUUCCUUAGAGUGAGAUUGAUGAGAUAAAUGGUAAAGGGUAAAAUGUCUAAAAACCUCAUUUCCUUUCCAUGUGCAACACUCUUGAGUCAUUUUAACUAGAUACAAAGUAGAAUUGAAUUGGUCUUUAAAGAUCAGCAGAUCCAAUUAACUUCAAUUUCCCUCCCCCUGCUUAUUGUGUGUUAGCAUCCAUAUAUCAGAGGGAACAUUCAGCCUUUGGUUUUUUUGGGAUUGGCUUAUUUCACUUAGC